AUGAACGCUGGCGGCGUGCCUUAAGCAUGCAAGUGGAACGGGUUAAUCGCAAGAUUGACCAGUCGCAAACGGGUGAGUAACACGUAGGGAUCUACCCUUUGGUCGAGAAUAACCCGCCGAAAGGUGGGGUAAUACUGGAUAAGUUCGUAAGAAGAAAGGCCGUAACUGGCCACCGAAGGAGGAACCUGCGUCCUAUCAGCUAGUUGGUGGGGUAAAAGCCUACCAAGGCUAUGACGGGUAGCUGGACUGAGAGGUCGGUCAGCCACAAGGGCACUGAGACACGGGCCCUACACCUACGGGUGGCAGCAACUGGGAAUCGUUCGCAAUGGGGGAAACCCUGACGACGCGACGCCGCGUGGAGGAUGAAGGUUUUCGGAUCGUAAACUCCUUUUGUUCGAUAUAGUGUCGAAAGAAUAAGCACCCACUAACUACGU
This 434-nucleotide ribosomal RNA is filed under the name uncultured bacterium. Its description in RNAcentral is "bacterial SSU rRNA". It matches the Rfam family "Bacterial small subunit ribosomal RNA", at positions 29 to 506 of the family's 1533-position model. The record is from RNAcentral.